GACGAACGCUGGCGGCGUGCCUAACACAUGCAAGUCGAACGGGGUAGAGAGCUUCGGUUUUCUACUUAGUGGCGAACGGGUGAGUAACGCGUGAGGAACCUGCCUUCCAGUGGGGGACAACAGUUGGAAACGACUGCUAAUACCGCAUAACAUACACGGACCGCAUGAUCUGUGUAUCAAAGCUUUAUGUGCUGGAAGAUGGCCUCGCGUCUGAUUAGCUAGUUGUGGGUAACGGCUCACCAAGGCGACGAUCAGUAGCCGGUCUGAGAGGAUGAACGGCCACAUUGGGACUGAGAUACGGCCCAGACUCCUACGGGAGGCAGCAGUGGGGAAUAUUGGGCAAUGGGGGAAACCCUGACCCAGCAACGCCGCGUGAGGGAGAAGGUUUUUCGGAUUGGUAAACCUCUGUUAGCAGGGACGAAGGACGUGACGGUACCUGCAGAAAAAGCAACGGCUAACUACGUG
This 465-nucleotide ribosomal RNA is filed under the name uncultured bacterium. Its description in RNAcentral is "bacterial SSU rRNA". It matches the Rfam family "Bacterial small subunit ribosomal RNA", at positions 28 to 507 of the family's 1533-position model. The record is from RNAcentral.